GACUACCGGGGUAUCUAAUCCCGUUUGAUCCCCUAGCUGUCGUCCUUGAUUGUCAGAAAACUAUAGUUAGCUGCUUUCGCUUUUGGCGUUCCUACCGAUAUCAACGGAUUUCACCCCUCCACCGGUAAUUCCACUAACCCCUAGUAAUCUCCAGCGUAGCAGUAUCCGACCCCUUCCUCUGCUUGAGACAGAGUCUUUGAAAUCAGACUUACUACACCAAAUACGGACUCUUUACGCCCAGUAACUCCGGAUAACGCUUGCGACCUUCGUAUUACCGCGGCUGCUGGCACGAAGUUAGCCGUCGCUUAUUCCUGAAGUACCGUCAUUCGUCUUCCUUCAGAAAAGCGGUUUACAAUCCAUAGACCUUCAUCCCGCACGCAGAAUUGCUGGAUCAGGGUUUCCCCCAUUGUCCAAGAUUCCCCACUGCUGCCCCCCGUAG
Molecule: ribosomal RNA, 439 nt
Filed under: uncultured bacterium
Lineage: Bacteria
Description: partial 16S ribosomal RNA
Source: RNAcentral